GCGCCCGUAGCUCAGCUGGAUAGAGCGCUUGCCUCCGGAGCAAGAGGUCGUGAGUUCGAAUCUCGUCGGGCGUACCA
RNAcentral lists this transfer RNA (77 nucleotides) under Fidelibacterota bacterium. RNAcentral's name for it is "tRNA-Arg". It matches the Rfam family "tRNA". From Rfam's summary of the family: Transfer RNA (tRNA) molecules are approximately 80 nucleotides in length. The record is from RNAcentral. Lineage: Bacteria; Pseudomonadati; Fidelibacterota.